RNAcentral lists this ribosomal RNA (232 nucleotides) under uncultured bacterium. RNAcentral describes it as "partial 16S ribosomal RNA". It matches the Rfam family "Bacterial small subunit ribosomal RNA", at positions 524 to 750 of the family's 1533-position model. The record is from RNAcentral.
GACGUAGGGUCCAAGCGUUGUCCGGAUUUACUGGGCGUAAAGAGCGCGUAGGCGGCUCGAUAAGUGUGAAGUGAAAUCUCUAGGGCUCAACCCAGAAACUGACUUUACAUGCUGUCGAGCUGGAGUGAUGAAGAGGUUUGUGGAAUUCCAGGUGUAGCGGUGAAAUGCGCAGAUAAUCAGGAGGAACACCAAUUGCGAAGGGCAGCUCGCUGGGACGUUAACUGACGCUGGA